ACAUCUCUCUAUAGUAGUAAGAGGGUACGAACCUUUUUCGCAUAAUUGCUUUCAUCUCUCUAUAGGAGGAUAUUAGUCGCUCUCUAUUACGUCGUAUAGUGAGGAGUAGUUGAUCCCACCACACUAAGGUGUAAUCAAUGAACUCUACCGCUACUAGUUUGACCUUUUUUUCUUCGUGGUAAUUAUGGCAAUCAAAGACUAGUUCUAUCUUUCUCUCCCACUCUAAGUAUGCUUCAACAUUAUUCCUACAUUCAAAGAUGAUAUUUUCAUCUUGAUAGAGCUGAUAUUACUAUCUCUCUUCUUCUCUCCUCUCUACCUUAUUUUCCUCCUCAUCAUUACAGGACUCGUGUAACGGCCCCGGAAAUUUAAACAAAAUAUAUGUAUUAAAAAUGUCAAAUGCGAAAGCGUAAUAAAAAUUUUGAUUAACAUCCCUUACACAAUAACCAAAACGUACUCAAAACAUGAAAGAACAAACAAACUAAAAGAGAUACUCGAGAUAAGAACUAUAAAUAUAGCUAUGAAAUCUUUAGGCGUCCCCUUCGCCGUCUUCCUGUGGAACGGGCUCGGGAACAAUGUCUUCCUGAUCUGAAAUGGUUAAAUAAGGAAUGAGCUACACCAACCCAGUAAAGACAUCACACUAUCUCACCACCACGGAAGUAAAGGUGGGUAGAAAAUAAGAAAUGACCAAUGGAGCAUAAUUUAUAACAAACUCGUUUAUUAAAAUAAAAACCUUUACUGUCCACUUACCUCGGUAAGAUCCAU
This 762-nucleotide long non-coding RNA is filed under the name Carica papaya (papaya). RNAcentral describes it as "long non-coding RNA (CPAP_LNC013655)". Lineage: Eukaryota; Viridiplantae; Streptophyta; Magnoliopsida; Brassicales; Caricaceae. The record is from RNAcentral.